UUGUGCUCGCUUCACAGAUACUAAAAUUGGAAUAACACAGAGAAGAUUAGCAUGGCCCCUGCACAAGGAUGACCUGUAAAUUCGUGAAGCAUUCCAUACAAAA
This is a small nuclear RNA of Gorilla gorilla gorilla (western lowland gorilla), 103 nucleotides long. Lineage: Eukaryota; Metazoa; Chordata; Mammalia; Primates; Hominidae. The record is from Ensembl.